RNAcentral lists this ribosomal RNA (512 nucleotides) under uncultured bacterium. Its description in RNAcentral is "bacterial SSU rRNA". It matches the Rfam family "Bacterial small subunit ribosomal RNA", at positions 18 to 518 of the family's 1533-position model. The record is from RNAcentral.
CCUGGCUCAGGAUGAACGCUAGCUACAGGCUUAACACAUGCAAGUCGAGGGGCAGCAUUGGGAUAGCUUGCUAUUCAGAUGGCGACCGGCGCACGGGUGAGUAACGCGUAUCCAACCUUCCUGCCAGUAGGGAACAGCCCGGCGAAAGUCGGAUUAAUGCCCUAUGUUCUUCAAUGCGGACAUCUAAGUUGAAGGAAAGAUUCAUCGCUGGCAGAUGGGGAUGCGUCCGAUUAGCUUGCCGGCGGGGUAACGGCCCACCGGGGCGACGAUCGGUAGGGGUUCUGAGAGGAAGGUCCCCCACACUGGUACUGAGACACGGACCAGACUCCUACGGGAGGCAGCAGUGAGGAAUAUUGGUCAAUGGGCGUAAGCCUGAACCAGCCAAGUAGCGUGCAGGAACCGACGGCCCUACGGGUUGUAAACUGCUUUUAUGCGGGGAUAAAGUGCGGCACGUGUGCCGCUUUGCAGGUACCGCAUGAAUAAGGACCGGCUAAUUCCGUGCCAGCAGCUGC